Molecule: transfer RNA, 73 nt
Rfam family: tRNA
About the family: Transfer RNA (tRNA) molecules are approximately 80 nucleotides in length. Their secondary structure includes four short double-helical elements and three loops (D, anti-codon, and T loops). Further hydrogen bonds mediate the characteristic L-shaped molecular structure. tRNAs have two regions of fundamental functional importance: the anti-codon, which is responsible for specific mRNA codon recognition, and the 3' end, to which the tRNAs corresponding amino acid is attached (by aminoacyl-tRNA synthetases). tRNAs cope with the degeneracy of the genetic code in two manners: having more than one tRNA (with a specific anti-codon) for a particular amino acid; and 'wobble' base-pairing, i.e. permitting non-standard base-pairing at the 3rd anti-codon position.
GGUGUGGAUGCAAGGUGUCGCACGCGGGAUUGAAGAUCCCGAAGUCUCGGUUCGAGUCCGAGAGAGACCACCA